GACGAACGCUGGCGGCGCGCCUAACACAUGCAAGUCGAACGGAGUCAAGAGGAGCUUGCUUUUCUUGACUUAGUGGCGAACGGGUGAGUAACGCGUGAGUAACCUGCCCUUGAGUGGGGGACAACAGCUGGAAACGACUGCUAAUACCGCAUAAGCCCACGGAUCGGCAUGGAUCUGCGGGAAAAGGAGUUUUGCGCUCUAGUAUGGACUCGCGUCCAAUGCGCUAGUUGGUAAGGUAACGGCCCCCUAAGGAGACGAUUGGUAGCCGGACUGAGAGGUUGAACGGCCACACUGGGACUGAGACACGGUCCAGACUCCUACGGGAGGCAGCAGUGGGAGAUAUUGCACAAUGGGGGAAACCCUGAUGCAGCGACGCCGCGUGGAGGAAGAAGGUUUUCGGAUUGUAAACUCCUGUCGUUAGGGACGAUAAUGACGGUACCUAACAAGAAAGCACCGGCUAACUACGUG
RNAcentral lists this ribosomal RNA (468 nucleotides) under uncultured bacterium. RNAcentral's name for it is "partial 16S ribosomal RNA". It matches the Rfam family "Bacterial small subunit ribosomal RNA", at positions 28 to 507 of the family's 1533-position model. The record is from RNAcentral.